Molecule: long non-coding RNA, 28969 nt
Filed under: Malus domestica (apple)
Lineage: Eukaryota; Viridiplantae; Streptophyta; Magnoliopsida; Rosales; Rosaceae
Source: RNAcentral
UUGAAUGAUGGUGCUGUUUUUUUCCGAUAACAAGAUAGAACUUCCCCAUCUAAAUAGCUCAUAUUUAUGCUUGCUAAAAUUAAAAGUAUGUUUAGAUUAUGGGGUACCAAAACGUAACAUUAUUCUUAUAAACAUCUGUGAACACUAAAUACAUGUGAAAAAUUAUAAAGUAUUAAGCCAGAAAGCAUUCUAACAUAAUGAUUAAGACCUAAACUAGGGUUCCGCCCUUCACAUACUCGGUGAAGGCCAAGGCUACGAGACCCAACAUGGCCAACCUUCCAUUUAUGAGCUCAGCAUCUGGGGUCAUGAUCCCAUCCGAUUCUGAUUCCACGCUGAGUCCUUUAAAUAGAGGAAUCAAUGAUGCCACUGUUAGCAAAAUACUAGUUCCAAGGAACAAUGAGACUCCACCAUUGGAUAUCUGAGCGAACACAUCCUGCCCCUUGUAUAGUUCCGUUGCUAUAGCUGAAACAAACCCAACCAUUGCAAGUCUGCCGUUGAUCCUCUCCGGCACUGGCCCACUGAAUGCAAACAAGUCUGAAAACUUUGUCCUAGCCUGCUAUGAGAUAUGUGUCACAUAUUAUCCAUGUGUGAAUGCCACAAUAACAACAUAUUGCUAUGGAACUCCUUUCCAGUACAUAUAUACAUUGGGGUAGCUAAAUUUAAUCUUUGGAUAAAUAUUCGUGUACUGCUCUCGAAUAAAUUGGUUGGACUUAUAUCAAUACCGACAUACAAGCUUGUAGUUCCUUUGACAAAGUCCAAUUAUCUUGAUUUUGAAGUUUUAAACGUACAAAUGCAUAAUUAGCAUGAGUAAGGUAAUAUUCAUUAAACUUUUAAUGGUUAAGACAAUACAACAAAUAAAUAACGGAUCAAUUCAAGUAACACUAGACACUUAAACAAAACAAUACCUUGCCGGGAGAAGGUGUAGGAGGUGGUGGUGGUGGAUAUUUUGAUGCAUUUGUAACUGUAGAUGGUUGUUUCUUCUGACCAUCCUACAAAUGAAAAAUAAAUCAGAUAUAGAGCGUAAUUAGUAUCAUUAUUUUAUAAAUAUAUGUACUUAAGAUGCACAUAUAUAAGCCAAAUAACGAAGAAGACAGAAGAAUAGAAUAAUUACCUUGGCCAUUGAGCAUAUCCUUAUUGGAGGGUAGCUGUGCACAGUUGGUGCAACAAGGUGGUUCACUCUAACUGAUUUAUUCUUUCCCGCUCCAUAAGCCAAGGAAUUAGGUAGGAAUGUUGAAUGCAUGAAAGUUGCUGAUACAGCCAUUGUAUAUAUAUGUAUUUUGGUUCUUGGUUAAACACUAACAAAAAGAUCAAACUCUAAGCUUUUGGAGACGUAAUUUGUUAUUACUUCUUGAUAUCAAAGUUUGAGCACCUUAGUUGCCUUUUAUAAGGUAAUGGUACCCUAGUGGGGGGAACUCUUUAAGCGGUGUAUAGUUUGGCACCUCAUCACCUUUUUACUUUCCCAAUGACACUUGACCACGUCUGUUAUAAAAAAAAAAAAAAAAAAAAAAAAAAAAACUUACUCGAAACACACAUUGUGUAGCUGUAAUUAUAUGACUAGAGAAGAGAAUAAAAAGAAGCAUACUUCUCUUGAAGGAAUGAGAGGCCGACGUACAUGCAUGGCUGCAGAACAUACAACAUUACUAUCUAGCCAGUAGUGACCAUCACGGGGUCACAUUAAUUUGUCGGGUCUUCAAAUUUUUAUGAUCUUUUGAGCAAGGGAACGGUGUCUCACGGGACCACGACUCCUUUCAGCUAAGGGACACUGUACAGAAAUAGCAGACACAAUUGCACUAGAGAACGGAUCUUUAUGCUACAUUUAGUUUCGUCCGCAAGAAAAUGUUAGUUGAGCACUUGGUGGCCCACUCUCUCGGUCACUUUUGCAUAACUGCACUUGAUUGAUAGCUAGGACAGCUUUGUGCGUUUGGUCUUGUCCAUAUAUACCAGGAGCAUGGUACGUAUAAGAGACGUGGCUCCCCGCACACACUAUAACCUCGCACACAGGGUUGGUUAAUUUGUAGUUUGUGUUGUAAAAUCGACGGUUGAUGCAGUGGAAUAAAUAAAUAAAACACAAAAUUUACAAUGUUCCUUUACAGUCAAUGUGAUUGGAGUACGUUAUCGGGAUAAUAGUGGUUCUUUCAUUAUAAUUAAGAAUAAUAAGAGUACAAAGAUAAUUCUCUAAAAAGAACAACCGAUUAAAAGGCAGUGAAUCUUUUUUUUUUAUGUUACAAAAGACAGCGAAUCUUUUUUUUAUGUGAUCUGAGGGACGUGGCUCCCCAAACACACCACAAUGAACAAGUCGAAGAAUUAAUUCUGCUCCCUUUAAUUUUUUAAGGUUUUUACUUUUCUAGUAUUUUCAGCGUAGUGUAGCUAUAUGCACAAGUACACAAUUAAUAUGAAUUAGCACCAAGUUUAAUUCUAUAUUGCAGUAGGCGUGUAUGCGUUUUUGAACUAUUUACCGCUUUAUACGACGACUAGCUAGUUUUUAACUUUUGGGUCCUAGUACAUGUGUUAACAUAUAUGAACUUGAAGCAUAAAGCAUUUGAUAAGGGGAUGUUACCAACCUUCACCUUAUAAGUUCUUUAUAAUUUUAAAAUUUCUGCAUUGUUAUUUAAUAAUAAAAAAAAAUAUUUUCACGGCCAUUGUUAAUCCAACAGUAUCCUCCGGAUCCUUUUUGUGAGGACCCUGGGGUCCGUUAAUCGUGUCAGUUCAUUAUACAUUGUGUGGUCAGUUUUCGUCAGGUACUGUUUGUGUUCAAUUUUAAAUAAAAAAAUUAAAAUGAUUUCUGAAUGCACGAUGUACGAUGAACGAAAACUAUUCAUGAAUCCCCAAGAUUCUCACAAAGAGGAUCCGGAUUCAUCAUUAAUGAUGUGCUAUGUCAGAAAUAUAUAAAAAUAGAAAUCAUCUAACCAUUUAAUUAGCAAUAUCAUAAUUUCAUUGUUUAACUAACGAACGUGGAUUUAGUUAAUUUUUGUAAAAAUAUCUUUAAAGAGUGAUCUUGAAAAUAGAUGAUUCGGAUCAUCAUGAAACAUUAGAGGAUAAGAAAUGAAAAAGGAGAAAAUCUAUAAAAAAAAAUGCUAGCAUUUCUUUUUGACUAAUAUUAGGUAGACCAAAUUUUCAAACCAUAUGAUGUGUCAACAAUAGAAAAUAAGCACGUUAAUCAACAUUUAAGUAAUAAUUAAUUCAUCAAUAACCACGUAAUAUAAUUUACAAAAUACAAUUUAAAUGGAUGAUUUCCCUAGCAGUACUGAACUUUUGAUUUCCCCGCUAAACUUUUUAAUUCAAAAACUAAGUACUCAAACUAAUUUUUUUUGCCGAUUACACCCCUACUAUUAGUUUUUCAUUCAUUUCAUCCAAAUUUCUGUUAAAUAAAAGCAUGUACACAACAUGUGAGGGUACUUCGGUCUCUUCAUUCUUUAAAGUAAUUGAAAACCCUAGAUUUCUAAAAUGUCAACAUGUGCAAAUAUGUGUGAUUCUAUAACUUCUGUGUCUGAAGGUCUAGUGAAGUGACGCUUUUGUCCUCAAAGGAGUGUCACAUGGUGUGCAUGUGAUAAGAGUUAACGUUAAUUUGGAUGGAAUCUAUGAAAAACUAACAGUAUGGGGAAAUCGGCCAAAAAAAUUAGUUUAAGUCCUUAAUUUUCCAAUUAAAAAGUUUAGGAGGGAAAUCGAAAGCUAAGCGAAAAGUUCAAGGGGAAAUUAGCAGUAAACUCUUUUUUCUUUUAUUUUAUUUUAUAAAUAAGUGAAAAUGAGAAUUGCUAAAUUCUUUAAUCUAGAUCAUUUAUAAUAAGGGUAACGCUAAGAAGACUUAAUUUAUAAACUAUAUAUGUAAAUUAAAUUAUGUGUCAGCAUUAAAAAAAUAAGUAUGAUAAUUAACACUUAAUAAUAAUUCAAUCAUUAACAACUAACAUCAUUUAAUUUACAAAAUUUAAUAUCCUUAACAUUAUCCUUAUGAUAAUAAUAAUUGAUUCCGAGUACAUAGUAAUAGAGGUCCUCGAAAAUCAGAAUUCCCAAAAACCCUAAUCCAAGUCCAUAAGUUUGGUGCACAAGUACAAGUACCACUAGAAGUAGAAGUCCUAAAAAAUUGAAAUUCCCAGAAACCCUAAUCAAACUACAAUAUAUAAUGUUUCCCCCUACCCUACAUAAUUAAUUAACAGGUCUCUCUCCCAAUUCCAAUCGCUAGGUUUUCAUCUAUAAUCUCUCUCCCUCCCUCCGUCAUUCAGUCUCUGGUUUUUAGGGCAUUCUUAGGGUUUUGAAUCAAGUAGUGUGCCUCUCGGCUAGAGAUUUUUGAGACUUUCGUGGUUCAGCAUUUGAUUUUGGGGAUGCAGAUAGCGCCAUGGCUAAGUCUCGGAUAGUUUUAACAACGGGGAGCUCCGCCGCGAACCGCCGAAAUUCUGGUACAGAAUUCGGGGACAUGUGGUUUAUGGGAUGCAGUUUUUGUCUUCGAUCAGCGUUUGAUUCCUACACCGUGGCUUGCAAGGCAUUUUUUGAGCAUGCACCGUCUUAAUCUGAUUCCGGUUGGGGUUGAGAACAAGAAGCUUUGAUCGAUAGAGUUUUUGAGAUACGUUUUUGUCUUUUCUCCGAGGAACGAAAGAAAAGAUUGUUCCUUUGCGGAGAUUUAAGGUUAUGGACUCCUGUAGUGGUUUGGAAGAUGCUGGCGUUGUGGAGAAAGAUCCGACUGGGAGAUACUUGCGGUAUGACGAAGUGUUGGGGAGGGGAGCAUUCAAGACUGUAUAUAAGGCAUUUGAUGAAGUCGAAGGAGUCGAAGUAGCUUGGUGCCAAGUGAAUAUCAAAGGAGUAGAAGAAGUGGAAAGAUUGUAUUCGGAGGUUCAUCUGCUGAAGUCACUGAAACAUCAAAACAUCGUACAGUUCCAUAACUCUUGGGUGGAUGAUAAGAACAUGACCAUCAACAUGAUAACAGAGUUAUUCACUUCCGGGAGCUUGAGGCAGUACCGAAAUAAGCAUAAGAAGGUCGAUAUGAAAGCCAUCAAGAAUUGGGCUAGACAGAUUCUUCGAGGUCUGGACUAUCUGCAUUCUCACAAUCCUCCAAUUAUUCAUAGAGAUUUGAAGUGUGACAACCUAUUUGUCAAUGGAUUUAAUGGAGAACUUAAAAUCGGAGAUCUCGGUUUGGCGAUUGUCAUGCAGCAGCCUACUGCUCAUAGCAUAAUUGGCACCCCUGAAUUCAUGGCUCCAGAGCUUUAUGACGAGGAAUACAAUGAAUUAGUCGACAUCUAUUCUUUUGGCAUGUGCAUGCUAGAGAUGGUGACUUGUGAAUACCCUUAUAGUGAAUGUAAAAAUCUGGCGCAAAUUUAUAAAAGGGUUACCUCUGGUGUAAAGCCUGCUUCCCUCAGUAAAGUAGACAAUCCUCAAAUCAAGCAGUUCAUAGAGAAGUGUCUAGUUCCAGCUUCUAUGAGAUUGUCUGCGGCGGAACUCUUGAAAGAUCCAAUCCUUGCAACUGACAACUUGAAUGAGUCCAGCUGUGAUCUUUCACAACUACAAAAGUUGUUUACCUUGCCAGAGCCCACAUCUAACUCGUCAGUGCUGGAGUUACAUUGUUUCUCUAAGAAUAAUGAGUUCAGGUUAAGAGCGGGGAAAAAUCCCGAUAACACAGUGUCUUUAACUUUGCGCAUUGCUGAUACAUGUGGUCUUGUGAGGAAUAUCAGGUUUGAUUUCUAUCUCGAUUCUGAUACUGUGAUUUCAAUUGCUUGGGAGAUGGUUGAGCAACUUGAUCUUUCACAUGAAGACGUCUCUGUCGUAGCUGAGCUACUUGAUAACUCGAUUGUGAAGCUUGUACCCGGAUGGAAACCUUCAUCGGAGUUGUCUCUAGCGGACAAAGAUAGGUAUGAUGCUCUAAAGAGGGAGCUUGAUGCUAUUGGUAAGCAGUAUUUCUCGAAAUUAAGGGAAGAGGAGAUGCAGAGUGCAAAGAAGAGUUGGAUAGCAGAAAACAAAAUAGCUGUAAUUGAUGUACUGUACUCUUGCUAAGUAUUUUCUUUUCGUCUGUUUUCCCUCUAACAUUCAUUUGAUUCUUGUGAAUUGUUUUCGUUAAGAAAUGCGGGCAUGUGUUUUUAAGUUUGGAUUUGUACUUACAUUUGUGUUUACGGUUAGUAAUGAAUAUUUUCUUGUUCCAAAAGAAUGUAUUUCUUUCAUAUGCAUAGCUCCUCCCCCUUUAUAUGUUUGUGCCUACUAUGAAGGUAAUUUCGUGGCAUAUGGGGAGGUACGUAAUUUUCUCUCCGCUCUAGGCAUACUCAUGUUGAUAGGAGAAAAUUUGUACCUGAUAUACAAUUUUAAUGGCACCAUCAUCUCAAUACCGUCCAUUAUCAAGUUAUUGCAUGUAACUAUUCUUUAAAUUUAUUUUUUUUAUUACAAGAUUUUUUUUUCUCCAUCUAAAUAUAUAUAUUUAUGCUUGCUAAAAUUAAAAAUAUGUUUGAAUUAUUUGGUACAAAAACGUAACAUUAUUCUUAUAAGUAUCUAUAAACACUAAAUAAGCCAAAAAGCAGCCUAACAAAACUUAAGCCAAAAAGCAUCCUAACAAAAUGAUUAAGACCUAAACUAGGGCUCCCCCUGUCACGUACUCAGUGAAGGCCAAAGCUACGAGACCUAACAUGGCCAACCGUCCAUUUAUGAGCUCAGCAUCUGAGGUCAUGAUCCCAUCUGAUUUUGACUCCACGCUGACUCCUUUAAGUAAAGGAAUCAAUGAUGCCACUGAUAGCAAAAUACUAGUUCCAAGGAACAAUGAGAUUCCACCGUUGGAUAUCUGAGCAAACACAUCCUGACCCUUGGAUAGUUCCACCGCCAGAGCUGAAACGAACCCAACCAUUGCAAGUCUGCCGUUGAUUCUCUCCGGCACUGGCCCACUGAAUGCAAACAAUUCUGAAAACUUUGUGCUAACCUGAAAACAAAAAAAACAAAAAAAAAAAAAAAUCUAUGCUUUGAGAUGCGUGUCGCAUAUUAUCCAUGUGUGAACGCCAUGAUAACAACAUAUUGAUAUGGAACUUCUUUGCUUUGGAUAAAUAUCACUUGUACUAUUCUCGAAUAAUUUUUAGCUUUGGAUAAAUAUUCUGGACAGAUAAACUUGCUGUAGGUCUUUUGAUACAGACCCAUUAUCUUGGUUUUAAACUUUUAAAUGUAGAAAUGCAUAAUUAGCUCGUAAGAUAAUAUUUGUUCAACUUUUAAUAGUUCAGACAAUGCACAUAAAUAAUUAACGGAUCAAUUCAAGUAACACUAGACAAUUUAAUAAAACAAUACCUUGCCGGGAGAAGGAGAAGGUGUAGGACGUGAUGAACUUUUUGAUGCCUCUGUAAUUGUAGAUGGUUGCUUCUUCUGGCCAUCCUACAAAUGAUAAAUUAGACACAGUGCGUAAUUAAUAUCAUUAUUUUAUAACUAUAUGUAGUUUAAGAUGCACAUAUAUAAGCCAAAUAAAGAAGAAGACAGAAGAACAGAAUAAUUACCUUGGCCAUUGAGCAUAUCCUUAUUUGAGGGUAGCUGUGCACAGUUGGUGCAACAAGGUGGCUCAUUCUAACUGAUUUAUUCUUUCCCGCUCCAUAAGCCAAGGAAUUAGCUAGGAAUGUUGAAAGCAUGAAAGUUGCUGAUGCAGCCAUUAUAUAUAUAUAUGUACUUUGGUUCUUAGUUAAACACUAACAAAAAGAUCAAACUCUAAGCUUUUGGAGAUGUAAUUUGUUCUUACUUCUUGAUAUCAAAGUUUGAGCACCUUAGUUGCUUUUUAUAAGGUAAUGGUGCCCCAGUGGGGGAAGCUCUUUAAGCGGUGUAUAGUUCGGCACCUCAUCACUUUUUUACUUUUCCAGUGACACUUGACCACGUCUGUGAGAAAAGAAAAAAAACUUACUUGAAACACGCAUUGUGUAGCUGUAAUUAUAUGACUAGAGAAGAGAAUAAAAAGAAGUAUACUUCUCUUGAAGGAAUGAGAGGCCGACGUACAUGCAUGGCUGCAGAACAUACAACAUUACUAUCUAGCCAGCAGUGACCAUCCUGUGGUCACAUUAAUUUGUCGGGUCUUCAAUUUUUUAUGAUCUUUUGAGCAAGGGAACGAUGUCUCACGGGACCACGACUCUUUUCAGCUAGGGGACAUGUGUAGCAAUAGCAGACACAAUUGCACUAGAGAAUGGAUCUUUAUGCUUCAUUAGUUUCGUCUGCAAGAAAAAUGUUAGAUGAGUACUUGGUGGUUCACUCUCUGAGUCACCUUGCAUAUUUGUAUUUGUUUGAUUGCUAGGACAGCUUUGUGCGUUUGGUCUUGUCUAUAUAUACGGAAAGGGAUCCUCUACGGAUCUCUUCCACCUAAUCAAUCAAUUCGGGCUCUUGAAAUUUGAUCAAACGAUUAAAAUUAUUAUAAUUUUUAAAGCGGGCCCCUGUUUUUUGUCAUUGGAUCAAAUUUCAAGAGUUCGGAUUGAUGGAUUUGCUGAAUUUGCUGGAAGGAAUCUGGAGAUGAUCCCUUUCCCAUAUAUACAAGGUGCAUGGUACAUAUAAGAGACAUGGCUCCCCGCACACACUACAACGUCGUACACAAGGUUUGGUUUGUUGUUUGAUUUUUUUAGUUCGACAAUAUACUCGAGCUUAAAAAAAAUUAAUUCAACCAAAAUUAUAGGGAUGAGUUAGUCUACAAUACUCUUUAAUUAAAAAAAAAAGUUUAUUGGUAUUGUUAAAUCUAAAUUUCAUUCAAGGUUGAAUUGAUGAAACUCGACGUACCAAAUAAGACUCACCGUUAGUUUAUUUGACGAGUACUCAAGAAAAAAGGGAAGGUGUAAACCAAAGGGUCUCUGAUGGCUAAGUCAGCGAAUGGUUUGAGAGAAAAUAGAAGAAAGAGAAUUCAGAGUAGUAAGUGGCGAUUUUCGAUUUUCCUAUUGGAACUUAACUAUUUAUAGGAGUAAACCCUGACAUGCAGCUAGGAGGGGAGGUUGUAUGCCAUACUAGGUAGACCUCUGUGUUGUGCUAGUGUGAUGCAAACCAUUCUCCACAGACAACUCACAAAUAGUCUCAAAGGUCUUUGAUAGAUAUUAUAACUGUCAUGUAUCGCAGGACACUCAAGGGAGACUCAAAAAGUCUGCUUUUUGCCACCUUAGGUCGAGUACGGCAUGGUGUUAGGAUUGCGAUAUCAUGGCCCAAAGGGUAUCUUGAUAUAUAUGUACCUGACUUGAAAGCCCAGUACCUAUGGGGUCAGAAGAUGCCAGGCCCUUUGAGGUACCAUGUGGUUUGCUCACAAUAUCAAGGGUAAAACCUUCAUAUUUAGUUAAAAGAUCACAUGUCCUUCUCCUAUUGGAUUUAGUAAAUGUAUGUCUCCAAAUGUAUUAUUAAAUUUGAACAUUUGAAGUGCAAUGCAAUCACGUUCAAGUAUAAUAUCCUAUAUUUAUAGUAAAUUAAUACAGCAUCUAGUACGUAAAUGUCAACGUUUUUAUAGUAUUACUGACGUCAUUUUGUGUAAUUAAAUUAUAGGAUUAUAUAUAACCUUAUCUAUCUUGUCACUCACACCUUGAAUGUUAAAAUCAUGUUGUACACGGUUAUACUUUAGGAUAGGAGGACAUAAGGGACUAAGAUGUUGUGUAUUAUCAUGACGUACGCUAGUGAUAACUUACAUCUACAUUAUAAUAAGACGUUCAUGGUCAUCAACGUUGGUAUUAUUAGUGCAAACAUGUUUAAGAGGCCAAGCUAGAAAUAGCGUUCAUGAGGGGUCUAACUAGGCAAUGGCAGCUGCAGGUCAUUGUUAAAUUCCAAAUAGAGCGCGAGCGGCCCUAAUUAUUUUUUCAACUUUAAGUGAGGCAUUUUAUCGAGCACUUAACCCAUACUCAAUAUUGUGUGCUUAGUGUACGAGUCUCCACCUUUUGUGCCGUUUUAGUUGUAUCUUUAGGCUCUAUAUUGUUAUAGUGAAUAAAUUAAAAGAUAUACUCUAUAUGUACAGAAUUAGGAGGUCAGAUUUAGUUCAUUAGACGUAUGAGGGUAGAAAAUUCAAAAUGAACAGUGUAUAUUGUGACAACAAGUCUCUAAUUAAUUUGUCUUUCCAGUAAAUAUUGUGCCACGUGGAUUCUCUUGUCCACGCGUAGUAGUUUGAGAGACGUGCCACAAGUAUCAUCACAAUGUACUAGGUAGUGAUUUCUGAGGUUACAAUUGUUCAAGGUUUUCAAAGUUUUGUAUAGGGGAGGGAAAAGGACCGACUGAUGCCUCACGGGACCACGAGCACUAGUUUCAAGGUUUCAACUAGAGGACAUAAGUAAUAACAGACACAAUUGCACUAGACAACGAAGCUUUUGAUUCGUUUUCGCCAGAAAGAAAAUUAAAGGUUGGAUGGUUAUAUUGCUUUGCUUGUUCAUCAUGGGUCAUGACAACUCUCUCAUCAUUUGCAUUUGUCUGAUAGUUUUUGGAGAGCUUUGUGGGCAAUUUAUCUGUUGUCUAGUCCAUGUAUGUGAUCUCAGGGACGUGGCUCCCCAAACACGGCAAAAUGAACAAGUCAAGAAUUAAUUGUGCUCCCAUUAAUUUUUUAAGGUUUUUACUUUUCUAGUAUUUUCAGUGUAGUGAAGCUAUGUGCACAAGCACACAAUUAAUAUGAAUUAGCACCAAGUUUAAUUUCUAUAUUGCAGUAUGCGUGUAUGCCUUUUGAAACUACUUACUGUUUUAUACGACGAUUAACUUCUGGGUACUAGUACAUGUAUUAACAUAUAUGAACUUCAAGCAUAAAGCAUUUGAUAAGGAGAUGUUACCAAUCUCCACCUUAUAAGUAGCAUUAAACGAUGGCCUUCUCUUUCUGCUUUGUCCUUUAUAAUUUUUAAAUUCUUGCAUUGUUACUUAAAUUCUUAGAAAGGUCGAAGCAUACUGGCCAUCACCAUGAGGUAAUGUAACCAUAAGGGUAAGCGAUGCAAAAAGUGAAUAAAAUUAAAACCAAUUAGAACUAAACAGUGAAAGAGUGCGCAAUCAUGAGUUGAACCCACUACAAUUAUUCAGAGCGUAAUAGACAGUGAGACUACAGAAGAGUAGUCAAAACGACCAAAGUACACUUAUUACAUAAUAGUGAUAAGUUCGUACGUCUAAACAGAAAGAAAUGUCAGAACUGCCAAGAUUCCUUGAGUGCCAUAAAGAGUACAACUAUCUAGGUCCUGGAAGGGCGAAAAACAAAGUUGAGUGGGUCAACAAAACAAUGCUUAUAAGAAAACCUUUAACUUUGAAAAUACUAACCUCUCGCCAUAAAACAAGUAUAGAUUCCUUAAAACAUACUACUCAGGUAUAUAAACAAUAAUUCGAUAAUAUUAUGGCAGUAAUAUAACCAGGAAUAUGCCAAGUAAUGAUGUAUCAAAUGCCACAGUAAUAAUCAUGUGAUAAUCAAGUAUAACUAAGUGCUCGUCCAUCUAAGCUGACACACAAGUUCGAACAAAUAGUUUCUGACACGAACAGGACUGGAUGUAAUCAAUAUGCUCUAGUACUACGAUCAAGUGAAGACUGGUGUAGAAGCACAUCACAUACAAGUCGGAUUGCCUAAUGCAAUCUACCCGACAGGACUGGCACCUAACUUGGAUCCAAGGCGAACGAAUGUUGCGGAUGUGAACAUACACGUGAAGGACUGUCCCUGGCCCUGGGGCAAGUACUAACACCGAGGUGCAGCAAGAUGAGCAUGUAUAUAAGUAUGUAUGAAUGUCGUGACAGUAAUAUCUUAGCCAUAUAGCAGCAUUUAUCACAAUAUAUAUCACAAUAACGAUACUUGGCAAUAUAAGCGUAAAAGUGAAGUAAAUACGCAUUUAUGGAAACUACAAAUAUGUAUAGGUAUAAAACAACUGCCACUCACAAGUACGUUGCUGGGUCGUAGCCCCCGAGCCUAGCUUGGCCUCGUAAAUUCUCAGGAUAAGUUUCCCCUAUAUGUGAAAUAACUAAAAUAACAUUAACUAAAGCACAUAACGGAAACCUAAAUAAAACCCCCAUAGUUUGCUCAAACCUAGGGUUUAAAUAUAUGAAAUCGAUCUACUCAACGACACGAACACACACAUGUCGACCACACGCCGGUCGGAGGCCGGACGCACCGUCACGCGCUGCCCAAAGUGGCUGCACAAAAUGGUCACAUGCGCCCGCGAGUACAGGCGUACUUGCCUUCCUCGCGAUUUUCUGCAAUUUUUGCAGAUUUUUGGCCAACUUCCAAAGUUCGAAUACGAUCCGUGUUAUUCAGAAAUUUGGCCUGAAAGUGGCCAAAUGACCAUGAUUGCAAAUUUUCCAGAAACUGAAAUUUUCUUCCCAACUUCCAGAGUUGAUUUCUAACUCGUUACUUAACCAAACUCUGUGAUUCAAAAGCCAUUUUGAAGUUAGGAAUGUAGAGAACAAGUUUGUACUAGUAGGAGCCGAGAUGUGGUCGAUGUUGACCGAAAAAUGGGUUGAAAGUGACCAAAUGGUCACGGUCCUUGACUGAAAAACGUGCAGGUUCUUCUUUUUCUUGAGUUUUCUGGGUAAAACUGUAACAUCCCACAUCGCCCAAGGAAGUGAUCCUUAAAUGUAUAUUCCCAUCCCUACCUAGCACGAGGCCUUUUGGGAGCUCACUGGCUUCGGGUUCCGUCGGAACUUCGAAGUUAAGCGAGAAGGUGGCCAGAGCACUCCCAUGAUGGGUGACCCACUGGGAAGUUGCUCGUGAGUUCCCAGAAACAAAACCGUAAGGACGUGGUCGGGACCUAAAGCAGACAAUAUCGUGCUACGGUGGUGGAGCGGGCCCGGGAAGUGGUCCGCCCCAGGCCGGGAUGUGACAAAAUGGUAUCAGAGCCUAACCCUAGCCGUGGUGUGCCGACAAGGUCGUCAGGCCCCUUAGGAGGGUGGAUUGUAACAUCCCACAUCGCCCAGGGGAGUGAUCCUUAAAUGUAUAUUUCCAUCCUUACCUAGCACGAGGCCUUUUAGGAGCUCACUAGCUUCGGGUUCCAUUGGAACUCCGAAGUUAAGCGAGAAGGUGGAUAGAGCACUCCUAUGACCCACUGGGAAGUUGCUCGUGAGUUCCCAGAAACAAAACCGUGAGGGCGUGGUUGGGGCCCAAAGCGGAUAAUAUCGUGCUACGGUGGUGGAGCGGGCCCGGGAAGUGGUCAUUCCCGGGCCCGGAUGUGACAAAAACCAUAUGUUCAAAACAUAACAAGAGAUCAAUAUCAACCCAUAGAAGUGAAAUGAAAGUUCUAAGGGUUUCUCAAGGCUUACCUAAGCCAUGAAUGGCCUGAAAAUCGUUAUGUCGAACUCGCCAAGUCGACCUUUUGAGUUGGUGAGUCAAAACUCGUCUACACCAGAUUUCAAAGACAUGGUUAUGAUCAUAGGACUGAGAUAAACAUAAUGGUGUAGUUGGUUUGUCACGUUUGUGAGUUUUGAUGUGUUUUUGUGAAGGUUGCAGAGAUGAAGAGGGAGCUCGGUGAGGAAGAGAGAGUGUGAUGUGAGGUUGCUUUUCUAAUUGGGGGACAGAAAUGAGGGAGAGAUGGGAUAGGUGGGGGAGUAAAUAAUGGAGGAGGGUGCACGGGAUGGACUAGGUAGAAGCUAGGGAUAGGCUUUAGACUUUUGUAUAGAAAAGAGUAUCGAAAAUCUAUCCGGAAUAGUAUUUUUGUACUGAUAAUAUUUACGUACACCCGCAACAUGUACAAUUAAAUGCGAUAGCGAGAAAAAAAAAAGGAAAGAGAUAAGAAUAAGUCCACGUCACUUGCCAAUAAGGGCAUAAUCGUCAAAUUUCAUAUUCGGGGAGAAAUUACAUAUGAAAAUUAGGGACGGGUCGUCACAAUGUACCCCCUUUAUAAAAAUUUCAUCCCUAAAAUUUCAAUACUGACUGCCAUCAAAGCCAUAAAACAGACGUGGAUACAUAUCUUGCAUACGCUAUUCUGUCUCCCAAGUGGCUUCCUCCACUAAGUGGUUCCUCCACAAAACCUUCACCAUCCGCACGAUCUUGUUCCUAAGAACCUUAUCCUUCCAUCAAGGAUAGUCACUGGAACCUCAACAUAGGUCAAAUCUGGAUUGAUCUCUAAUGGCUGAGGAGGGACUACUGUGUGACGGAUCAGAAACGUACCUCCGUAACAUCGAUACAUGAAACACAUUAUGCACUCUCGCCAACUCUGAUGGCAAAGCAAGUCGAUUAGCAACUUCACCGACUCGUUCAACAAUCUGGUACGGUCCGAUGUACCUAGGGCUGAGUUUCCCUUUCUUUCCGAUCAUUAACCUUAUAAACUCUGUCGGUAAAAUGUCUGUCUGCGAUACUCUUUUGACGAUCCUGGGCCGCUUUCAGGUUAGCCUUUAUCACAUUAAUGUUCUGUGUCGUCUCAUCCACGAUCUCAAGGCCCACCAAAACUAGCUUACCGACCUCGGACCAACAACGCUUCAAAUGGUGCCAUACCAAUACUAGAAUAGAAGUUGUUGUUGUACACGAACUCUAUUAACGGUAAGCACUUGUGCCAAGCGUGUCCAAACUGUAGAACUGACGAUCUUAACAUAUCUUCCAAAGUCUGGAUAGUUCUCUCUGACUGCCCAUCAGUUUGAGGAUGAUAGGCGGUGCUGUAGAGUAAUCUCGAUCCCAAAGCUUCCUUAAAAGCUACCCAUAACUUCGAAGUAAAUCGUGGAUCCCGGUCACAAAUGAUACUAACUGGACUCCGUAGUACCUAACCACUUCAGAGAUGAACUGUUCGGCCAACUGAUUUAACGAGUAAUUCUCACGGAUGGGUAUGAAGUGCGUUGACUUGGUAAGUCUAUAAACUACCACCCAAAUACCAUCGUAACCAUUUCGCGUACGAGGUAAUUUGUACACGAAAUCCAUUGUAAUAUCUUCCCAUUUCCACUGAGGUAUCGGGAGUGGUUGUAGCAAUCCAAACGACUUUUUCCUUUCUGCUUUAACCUGCUGGCAAAUUGCAUAACGACUAACAUACUUUGCAACUUCUCUUUUCAUACCUGGCCAAUAAUAAAAGUGUCGGAUGGUAUGAUACAUCUUGGUGCUCCCUGGAUGCAUCGAAUAAGCAAAAAUAUGCACUUCAUCCAAUAUGUCUCUCUUCAGUUCCUCAACAUUCGGUACAUACAUCCGUUCGCCUUGCAUAAGCAUGUCGUCAGGAUCUUUAAUCUAGAGGUCAUUCUUUUUCCCGUCUAACACUGCCUGUAUCAAUUCCUGAUAUUCUGUAUCGUUCUUCUGGGCUUCGAGAACACGAUCUAACAGAACCGGUCUGACCUGAAAACUAGCAAUUAAGGCCCCCCAACGACCCUCUUUCAAUGCUACUCCAGUGGAUCUUAGGUUAGUCAAAAGAGGAACGCGACUAGCAUAAAGAGCAUUAAGUUGGCCAUGAGACUUCCUACUAAGAGCAUCAACUACUGAAUUGGCACGACCUGGGUGAUACUCAAUGGUGCAGUCAUAAUCACUUAGCAACUCUUCCCACCUCCGAUGUCGAAGAUUGAGGUUCGGCUAAUUGCAGAUAUACUUAAGGCUCUUGUGAUCAGUGAAGAUCUUACACUUUUCCCCAUAAAGAUAAUGCCUCUAGAUUUUCAAGGCAAAGAUGAUCACUGCCAACUCGAGAUCGUGAGUAGAAUAGUUCUUCUCAUGGGGCUUUAACUGCCGCGAAGCAUAAGCAAUCACUUCAUCAUGCUGCAUUAACACACUCAAGACCAUUAAGAGACGCAUCACUGUAGAUCUCAAAGUUCCCACCAUCAUCAGGAAGUGCUAAGAUAGGUGCAUGAGUGAGAAGAUACUUCAACUGCUGGAAACUGUGCUCACGCUCACUACUCCACACAAAAGGAACUUCUUUUCUAGUCAAUUUUGUCAAAGGUAGUGUUAUGGUCGAAAAGUCUUUCACGAAGCGUAGAUAAUAACCAGCAAUACCAAGAAAGCUUCGAACUUCUGUAACUGUCCAAGGUUGUUCCCAAUUUUCCACAGCUGCUAUUUUCUGAGGAUCCACAAGCACGCCCUGAGCUGAUACCACGUGCCCUAAAAAUGACACUUAUCCAGCCAAAACUAACAUUUGUUGAACUUAGCAUACAACCGAUUUGCCCUUAGCGUGUUUAGAACCACACGCAGAUGCCUGGCAUGAUCAGUUUCGUUCUUCGAAUAACAUCCCACAUUGCCUAGGGGAGUGGAUCAUGUAAACCUUAUAUGUAUAUUCCCAUCUCUACCUAGCACGAGGCCUUUUGGGAGCUCACUAGCUUCGGGUUUCAUCGGAACUCUGAAGUUAAGCGAGUUCGCGCGAGAGUAAUCCCAUGAUGGGUGACUCACUGGAAAGUUUUCAUGUGAGUUCCCAGAAAUAAAAUCGUGAGGGCGUGGUCGCGGCCCAAAGCGGACAAUAUCGUGCUACGGCGGAGUCGAGGCCGGGAUGUAGUGAGGGCCCGGGGCGGGAUGUGACAGUAAAUUCUAUGAUCUAGAUAGUCAUCAAUGUAUUAAGUUGGCAACUUAUUUUAUUAUUUUAUUUCUGAAAAAACGAUACUAUAUAUAAUGAGCUAGCAAUAAUACGGUUCAAAUUUUCCCUUAAUGAUAAUCAAACCUAAGACCUCUAACUUACAAGUGAAGAGGAAAACUAUUAGACCAUAGUACUAAGUGACAUCAAACUUGUUUUUAGAUUAGAAAAAGGAACACAUGCCCCUGUGAUCUGAAAUAGAGAGGCAUACUGGCCCAAGUAACCUCUAAAUUGUUUUUUUUAACUGGUCCCAAAGUAACAAUAACACAUGCCCCUCUGAUCCAAGUUGGUUACUGCAUUAGUUUAACAAAAUAAUUUAUAAAAAUAAUUUGUUUCCAAGCACUACGAAGAGCAAUUCCACCCCAGCCCUUUAGGCUGACACAUGAGUUCAUACAGAUAAUUUCUAAUAGGCUGGCACCUAGCCCAAGCCAGGCCAUAUGCCAGCUCAGAAUCGACAGAGUAAAUGGACGGCCCAUCUGACAUCAUGCUGACGCCAGCGUGACGUCCAAUGGCAUUUUAUUUUUUUUUGCUCCAGGUGCGCGUCACCAACAAGAAAUCAGAGGCGAGCCCGCUUGCGCAAUCGCACUAAACCAAUUUGAUGAAAAGCCACGUGGCUAGUCUUGGGCUGUUGGAUUCCCAACGGUAAAAAAAUUUUGAAUUUGAAAUCCAACGGCUAGUGAUGUGACUUGAUCUGGACUGUCCGAUCCAGAGAUCAACGAUCCACGUUUUUCCCCUAGAAUUUUUUUUAAAAAAGGCACAAUGGUUAAAAUUAUGACCGUUGGCCACGUGUCAACAUAUAGGCUAUUGGAUUUGAAUCUUUUUCAAAUCCAACGAUCCAGAUUAAUAAACUAAAUUAAAAAUUGUUAAAAAAAAUUCAGAAAAAAUUAAUUUUUUUUUCCUAUAAAUACCUAACCCUUAUCUUCUACCUUACACCAUAUUUCAAUAUUUUCAACACUUUCUACCAAAACUUUCAAAUAUUUUUUGUGUGAAAAAAAUACCAAGAACCUCAUCCUUUCUUUUUUGUCCAUAUAAAACCUACAUCCCUACAUCCAUCUUCAUCGUUUUCAAAUCUUGAGUUCUUACAAUGUCUUCUUCAAGGAGAGUGUAUAAACAGUUUGAGGAGCAAUAGAAAAGAUUGUUGGCACAACGGGAAGAAUUGGUCAAUCUCGAGGAAGAUAGAGGUGGAGAUGAGGCUUUCGCAAUGGAGGAGGAUGAGGAUGAUGACCAUAGAAGGCAGAGGGCCUCACAUUCCCGUCGUGUCAUGGAAGUUGUGGGUUAGAUAGCCAAACCCAGACACGCCGCAAACUUCAAUAGAAAAAGGGAAAGACAAGGUAAAGAUCUCUUGGAAGAUUAUUUUAUUCCCAACAGCGUAUUCCCUGAUCAUGUUUUUAGAUGUCGUUUUAGAAUGCAACGAAGUUUGUUCAACAAAAUCAUGAGUUCUAUUUGCAACCAUGAACCAUACUUUGUGAAAAAAGAUAAUGCUUUUCGUGUUCUAGGUCUUCUUCCUGAGCAAAAAAUUAGGCUGCCUUGCGAAUGCUUGCGUAUGGUGCAUUUGCAGAUCAAAUGGAUGAGAUCGUGAGGAUUGGGAAAACAACUGUUUUGGAGUCCAUGAUUCGGUUUUGCUCUGCAAUGGAAGCCCUCUACACUAAUGAGUACCUCCGAAAACCCACACCAAUGGACAUGCGAAGGCUUCUGAGGAAGGGUGAGAUACGAGGCUUCCCUAGCAUGAUUGGAAGCAUCGAUUGCAUGCAUUGGACCUGGAAAAAUUGUCCAAGUGCUUGGCAAAGAGUGUAUAGUGACAGAAAAAGAGCCAAAAGUAUCAUUUUGGAAGCGAUGACUUCAUUUGAUACAUGGAUUUGGCAUGCAUUUUUAGUGUUCCAGGAGCUCAGAAUGACAUAAAUGUCCUUGCUUAAUCUUCAGCAUUCGACGAAGUGCUUUAAGGAAAAUCACCCAAAGUCACAUAUUCAAUGAAUGGCCAUACAUAUGAAAUGUCGUACUACCUUGCAGACAGCAUUUACCCAAGGUGGACAACGUUUGUCAAAACAGUCCCAUAUCCACAAAGUGAAAAAGUAAAACACUUUGCAAAAUGUCAAGAAGGGUGUAGGAAAGAUGUGGAACGUUGUUUUGGUAUCCUGCAAGCUCGUUGGGUAAUUGUCCGAUCAACUGCUAAAAUGUUUGAUGUCGAGGCACUUGGAUCCAUCAUGAUGACGUAUAUCAUUCUCCACAACAUGAUUGUGGAAGAUGAGUAUGAUUAUGAUGUUGUCAACGAAUAAGAGCCAGACACAAUGAACAACUCAAGAACACGUAUCUAUUGUGCUCAUGACGCCACCGAAGAUCUCGUGCAACACGAGCCAUUGGAACGGGAUCGACGUUACAAUGAAUUGUUUGAGGAGCGGUACACUUCAUUGCAAGAGCCAUAUUGGCAUUGUACUUGUCAAAGUGACUUGAUUGAGCACCAAUGGGGAUUGCAACAAGGUCAAGAUAAUUAAAAGAAGCUUGUGGUGGAACAAUAAGGUUCUUGGUUUAUUUAGGGUGUUUUUUUUUAAGUUUAUUUGAUGAGUUUAUGUAAUUUUAUUUUGGGUAAAUUACAUUUCAACCCCUCAGGUUUGAGGUCGAUUUCAAUUCCUUACAACAUCUUUAAAACAUUUCAACUUCAUACAUUUACUUAUCAUUUUAUUUCAAUUUCAUACAUCCGUUAGAAAAUCUGUUAAGUAAAUCGUUAAGUGCUGACGUGGCUGCCACGUGGCUAAAAACUUGAAAAAAAAUUAAAAAAUUAAAAAAAUUAUUUAAAGAAAAGUUAAAACAAAAAAAAACACAAAACCCAGAUCCCCACCUGUGCCCACCCUCCCACCCCUUCCACCAUCCCCCAUCACCUGCAACCACUUCCCUCCCCACUGCGCCUCCAUCUCCGACGAGAACCUCCAUGCCGAGCUCUUCCCCUAGUACACCGGCAAAACUCGCCGGAGCUUAUCGAGUCAACGUUUAGGGUUCGUGUCAAGGAACCCUACAAUCCUAAAGAAAGUCAAUCUUUUUCUUGCACUGGAAGCUGAUAGGUGGAACAAGGAGGUAAUCUUGAACGGACUCGAAAUGUUCAAACUCAGUGCAAACCGGAAUCUCGCUGAACCAAGCCCUGACCCACCUCUUGUAGCCGCAGCAAAAGGGACACCAUCAAAACCUAGCAUAAGAUCAAGAACUCAUUUGAUUGCCACGGUUGUCAGUGUAGCUUGCGAAAUACUUGGACUCUCUGUCCUUAGAUUCUUGGUUUUUAGGCGACGGCAGAAAGUCAAAGGCACUGCCUCAAAUGGGUCAUCAUCUUUACCAACACAUUUGUGUUGUUACUUUUCAUUAGCAGAGAUCAAAGCCGCCACCCAAAACUUUAGCCAGAGUUUCAUUGUUGAGAUGGGAGUCACAUCCCGGCCCGGGCCCCCACCACAUCCCGGGCUCGACUCCACUGUAGCACAAUAUUGUCAACUUUGGGCCCCGACCACACCCUCACAGUUUUGUUUCAGGGAACUCACAUGAGAACUUCCUAGUGGGUCACCCAUCUUCGGAUUUCUCUCGCGCGAACUCACUUACCUUCAGAGUUCAGAUGGAACCCGAAUCCAGUGAGCUCCCAAAGGGCCUCGUACUAGGUAGAGAUGAGAAUAUACAUAUAAGGCUUACAAGAUCCACUCCCCUGGACGAUGUGGGAUGUUACAAUGGGUGAUGGGGGUGGGAGGGUGGGCAUGUGGGUUUUGUGUUUUGUGUUUUAUUUUUUUUAAUUUUUUUUAACUUUUCUUUAAAUAAUUAUUUUAAUAUUUUAAAAAUUUUAUUAAGUUUUUAGCCACAUAGCACAAAUGUGACAGCUACGUCAACACAAAUGGGGACCCCAUAUUUGCCAUGUCAUCACUUAACAGUUUACUUAACAAAAUUUCUAACGGAUGUAUGAAAUUGAAAUAAAAUGAUAAGUAAAUGUAUGAAAUUGAAAUGUUUUAAAGAUGUUGUAAGGAAUUAAAAUCGACCUUAAGCCUGAGGGGGUAAAAUGUAAUUUACCCUUUUAUUUUAGUGUUUUUUUUAAGUUUAUUUGAUGAGUUUAUGUAAUUUUAUUAUGAUAAUGACACAUGGCGUGACGAGAUUGGUUAAAAAUCCUAUCUGAAAUUAAAACUAUUUAUUUAUUUAUUAUUUUAUAAAAAAUUUAAUAAUAUUUUAAAUGGGCUAGGUGCCAGCGCAUUUUGUAUGGGUAGAGAUCGUUUGUGCCAGCGCAUUUUUUAGGGAUGGAGAUGCAUUUGGCCUAUUACUGUUCAUUAAGGUCUAUCACUAUUCACUGAGUGGAUUAAAUGGAUUGGAUGCUAACACAUUUUUUUAGAGGUGAACUUGCUCUAAUAGUAGAGGUCCCCGAAAAUCAGAAUUCCCAAAAAUCCUAAUCCAACUCCAUAAGUUUGGUCCACAAUUGUUAGUGUCCUAGCAUUUCUCUAACUUGGUGGCACACUCUUUCAGUCACUUUGCAUAAUUGCAUUUGUUUGAUAGCUAGGACAGCUUUAUGCGUUUGGUCUUGUUCAUAUAUACUUGGUACCAUGAUAUAAGAGACGUGGCUCCUUGCACAUACUAUAACGUCACGCUCAGGGUUGCUCAUUUUUUUUUCUUUUUUUCUGCAGAAACAAUAUUAUUUACAUUAAAAAAAAUGUGGAUUUAACCUCAUAAUGGGUUAGCAAUAAUAUAGUUUAAAUUCUCAUUGGCGAGAAUUAAACAUAAGACAUCUUAUUUACAAGUGAAGAGGAAUACCACAAGACCGUAAUACUAAGUGGCAAUAUAUACUCAAAUUUAAAAAACUAAUUUUAAGCAUUUAUUCAAUUGAUAUUGCAGGGAUGAGUUAGUCUAUGAUACUGUAAAUACAAAUUUCAUGUAGCAAAUAAAACAAUGUGUACAAAAUAAAUGUAUUGUAUUAAUAUAGGUUUAGGGUUACAAUUUAUGUUUACAAUUUGAAUCAUUUGACUUGAUCUCCGGAAUGCAAAGUAUGUGUGUGUUGGGGAUUAUUGAUCCAAGAAUUGCGAUGACUUGAUGACCUCGGAUGAACAGAUGACGCAAGAGUUUGGCUUGUAGCGAUGGAAGAAUUGGUACGUGUAAUGGUGCUUGAUGAUGCUUCACGGGUUAGAUGAAGAACGUAGAGAGUUUUCUAAAUCUUCUAAAUGUUUGGGAAUUUGGGAGUUUGGAGGCUUGAGAGAGCUUUAGCGUUUGAGUGUGAGAAUGAUUUUCUAGACCCUUUCCUUGUCUUGGAGCCUUCUCUUUACAGACUCUCCAAGCUUUGCCUACGGAAAAACCAAGACUUGAUUUGUGUCUUAGUUCGUGAUUUGUGAUUUCACUCCAUCAAUUAAAAUUUGAUUUAAUCAAAUAAAUCAAUCUUCCCAAUUUGGCAUUUUUAUUUGAUUUAAAUUUAAAUUAAUUAAUUUGUUUAAUUUAAAUUAAAAUCAAAUCAUUUAUUUCCACCAAGUGUUGACAUGUGUCCUCUUGAUGAAUCGUCCAGUUUUGAUGAGUCACAUGCCAUGUGUACGCUUUGUGAGACACAUGGUGCUUGCCACGUAAGUCUUGGCAUUUCAAAAUUUAAUGUGUUGGUGAACAUUUAUUCAUUGGAAUUUCAAUGUCUACAAAUGGUCCCUCGCAUAGUGAAUGUACUUUGAGCACUAUACUUUGAAGUCCAUCAACGUAGAUGGCAAUCCCUGAAAAUCUUAACAAGCAACAUGACCAGGAUUACCUUUAGAUAAACCAUAUGUAUUAAGUUUAAUCCAAGAAAACUUAGGAGAAGACCAGAGCACAUGAAUAAAUAGUAGGCGCCUUGCGAGCGAUGGAUUGGAACUUUAGAGAAUAAUUGAUAUGAGUGUCAAAACCCUGAGAAUAACUAGGAAUAAACUUCCCACUAUGAACGACCCCUGAAUUGAUAGACAUGCAAGGACGAUGAUAAUAUAUUGGGCGGCCCUAAAAAAUAAACUUAUUUCGAGCUUUACAAAUAACCGAAAUAGUAGAAAGACUUGUAAAAUCCAGAGAUUAUGCAAUUGUUGGAAAAAAAAAACAGCCAAGAAUAUGAAAAAGACAAAGAGGUACCAAAUUGACAUGCUAACCACCUCUAAAGUUGCCUAAAUAUCCGACAUCCAAAGAAAAAUGAACAGUAGAUUCCUCAAAAUUAUGACAUAAACAAGAAAUACCACGUUGUUGUAGUGCACCCUCAUUAGAAAUGUUAUUAUUAAAAGUUUCCAAGCCAAAAUAGAUAGUUGAGCGGAAUAAAAUGUUGCCAUACAACCCUAGCUCAAUCAUAGUCACUAUGUUUUCUUCGAAUAAGAUGACAACCAGAAGAAAAAGAAAAGUUCCCAGUAGGCGAGGGCUACCAGAUCAAUUUAUCAUCUUCUACAUUUAAAGGUAAAGGUAAAUAUAAAUCUGUUGCACCAGAAAAAUGAAUAAAUCUACAAAAUAAUCUACCAAAGACCAAUUUUGAGCUUUAAUAACAUUUGAAAUCCGAGGAAGAACUAUAGGUGAAAUGACCAAAGAUAAUGAAGUGCUAAUAGUCGGGUCAUCCAACCAUUUGUCAAACCAAAAGGAAACUGACGUCCCAUCACCAAUAAUCCAAUGACUAUUAUUAUUCAGAAUAAACAAAACAUGCUUUAAACCAUGCCACACAAAAGACCAUAAAUGUAUACCUUAUUUUUGUAGGAAGGGGGAAGCUUUUAAGCGGCCAUCGGUGUAUAGUUUGGAUUCAUAUUGCUGAAUUGAUUUCUUUGUGAUAAUGGGCAAGUCGGUUGUUUGUCCAAACGGAAAGGAAAUAACAUAGUAAAAGUCUUGCAGCUUUCUCACUCCUUUCCUGACUCGUCACAUGAGGAGAGCAAGUCAAAUCACUCAAAAAGUGUAUCGUAUACAACUCGUUGCCGUGUGAAAUGAGACAUUUCUGAAGCACAUACCACAAAGUUAAGUUACUGGUGGGCAAUUCUAAGAUAACUCUCUCCUUUCAUGACUAAUCACAUGAGAGGAAUUUAUCAUGUUAAAAUACUAAAAAUGAUGUAUUAUAGAAAGUUUUAACGAAAAGUUUACGGUACUGUUUACUUUAACAAAAAACCAUAUUUUUUACACUAAAAAGUCAAAUUUGGUACUAUUCACUUUACUUUUUAUUUUGUCCUUAUCAUUAAAACUCAAAGUUUUCAAGAGCUUUUCAUUAAUUUUCCUUAUAUUGUAUACAAUUUGUUACAUGUAAGUUUCUCUUUGUUAAAUAAAAAAUGUGGCUGAAUUACAGAUCACAACGUUACAUUACUAGUGGCCAGGUGAUUCAAAUUAAAUGUCACAUGUUCUUCAAUUUAUUUGAUCUUUUGAGAAGAAGGAUCGAUAUUUCACGGGGCCACGCGAGCACUUUUAGAAGCCUUUUUUUUUGGGACACUUUGGAUGCGGUCCCUAGCUAUCAAUAUCCUUUGAUUGAAACCUUGUUAGUUUUUAGUUUUUGAUUGAGGUCCCUGAUAUUAAUGUAAUAAUGUAAGUUACUAUAUUUUUUUAAUUAAAAAUUAAAAAUUGAAAUUUGUAAUUGUUUAUAUUAAUGAGAUUUUAAAUAAAACCCAUAAUUAUGGGAUUAAAAAUAAUAAAAUAUAAAUUAUUCUCUCUAUAUUGUGUGUGUGUGUACAUAUAUGUAUGGGUACAUUAACCAAAAUUAACAAAAAAAGUUAUUGUACCAAAACAUGGAUACAUUCUCAAAUCAACGAAAAAGAAUGUACCCAUAUAAGUUUAAACAUGGAUUAAAAAAUUUGAAUGGAUUUUAUAUUAAAAAAUGGUACAUUUUACAUAUAACAAAUUGAUAUAUUUGAGAAUGGGUACAUUUAAGAUUAAAAAAAUUGAAAAAUUAUAUGAAUGGGUACAUUUAAGAUUAAAAAAUUGAGAAUCUUUUUAUAUAUAAAAAAAAACUAAUAGGUACAAACUUAAUUUAAUUUAAUUUUUUAUUAUUUUGGAAAUGUUUGAAUUGAAAAUUAAUUAGAAGUUUAAUAGAGGUGUGAGUAUUAAACCCUAAAUUAAUUACUAAUUUUUAUAUUAAAAAAAUUAUAUAAUAAACAUGUAAAUUCAUUAUCACAUUAAUGCUAGGGACUUGAAUCAAAAUUUGAGAACUAAUAAGGUGUUAGUCAAUGAACAGUAAAAACUAGGGACCGGAUACUAAUUUUUCCCUUUUUUUUUGUCGAUGAGCACUUUUGAAGCUUAAUUUUAGCUAGAGGACAUUUGCAGGAGCAGACAGAAUUGCCCUUGUCAACGAAUCUUUUGCUUCAUUUUCGUCAGAAAAAGUUGGAUGAUUAUGUACGUAUAUACGAAAUACUUGGAUACUACCUUGCUAUUCACAUACAGUCAGUUGCACUUGCAUACAAUUUGUUUUAUAGCAACGACAGCAUUGUGGGCAUAAUCGAUGGUAUGUUAGGGUAGGGACGUGGCUCCCUGCACACACCACAUCGUCCCAGUCAGCUGGGAUUCUGAGGUCCCGUUAAAUUUCUGUCUUCUUCCCUUCUUUUUUAUUUAUUUAUAUUUUCAGUGUAAUAUUGCAGCAAACAACAAGUUGCGUGCACAACAUAAGGAAUUACGUUCAAAUUUUACGAUGUAACGAGUUGCAGACAUAAAAGUUUAACUAAGGGAUAUCAUGCUGGUAUCGCAUUUUUUAGCUUUGAUUUUAUUAGUUUCAUGGAUUUUGGUGAGAGAGAGCUAAUGUGACAUAUUUCUAUAUUACAUUGAUUAGUACUACCGUACAUCUCCAGUAAACUGAGCUGAGCUAUAUAUUUCUACUAGUCCAGCCUUUUUUAAUUAUCAUGUGGUCCUAAUGUUGUAUGAUAUGUUGUAUUUGGUUCUAUACAUGUUCCCUUUAAUUAUGUUUGACCUCUUAUCCGGUUAAUUGGAAUGAUCACUAACAGAAGUGUACCUCAUAACAACAGAUUUUUGUUUUUGUAGUUUAAUUUUUACGAUUUUUCAUUUUUGUCAAACAAGCUUUUCUCCAUUUUCCAUGCAAAUAUACUCGUCUAAUAGAUGCAACUUUUCUUUUAUCUUCCUUUGUUUCUCAAUAUUUUUAUAAGUACAUGAAACACAAGUCACGUAAUAUAUUAUUUCAUAUAUUGUAAUUGAUAAAAACGAACGACAUGAUUAUGUUCUCAUUAUAAGUUAUAGUAAUAGAAAACAAAUCCAUGUGUUAUAAAUUGAUAAUUUAUUUUUUUACCAUAAAAAUAAAAAAUAAAAAAUUUACGUGGCAUAGUACGUUGUAAAUUGCUCGUAAACGAGUUUCUGCCAAAUCAUGUAACCAAUGAGGCUUAGGAAUGUGAUCUCUUCCCACUCAGUCUUUCUCUGUAGCGAUUAAAUUUUUGUUGGAAUGGAUGCUCGAAUGUAUAUAUAGUCAAAAAUCGCUUCGCAAGAUAGAAAUUCAAUGCCUAAAUACACUCUCCACAACAAAAUAUAGUCAUUUAUUUUCGAAGAAAUUGUAACAAUGAUAAUUCAACUUUAACUUAAUUAGAGUAAUGGUUCCUCAACUAAAAAUUCAUAACCAUUGAUCUCUUAAUUCAUCAAAACGUGUAGUUAUGGUCAUUUUUCGUCAACUCCGUUAGAACUAUUGUCAAAAUAACUCACGUGCCACACACGUGAGGCUAAAUCAAAUGACAAAUAUGAAAAACGAAAUGAGAAAAAUUGUAGUAAUGGUUCCUCAACUUUAAUUCAAAUUGGAUUAAUCCCUCAACUUUAAUCCAAUUAGAGUAAUGAUCUCUCAACUCUAACUCAAUUGUAGCAAUGGUCCUUCCAACAUACCUUAUUUUGACAGAAUUCUGACUGAGUUUACGAAAAUUACCAUAACUACAAAUUUUGAUGAGUUAAAGGAAUCAAUAGUCAUAAAUUUUAAUUAAAAGACCAUUACUUCAAUUGAAUUAAAAUUUAAAAAUUAUUGCCACAAUUUUCUCUUUAUUUCCUUGUCUACAUACUAAAACUCGUCACAAUUACUCAAGUCUCAAACUUUCCACAACCCUCUUUGAUGAGAGCAGUUCCACCCUUGUGGAUUGCUCGGGGGACAUGCACCAGGAAAGGGCCUGAGGCCCAGUGGACAACCCUCCAGCCUUGGAGAGCUCGAGUGAGGGUGGGAGCUCGAGCACAAGGGGGGUGGGUAAUUGACAGGCCUGCAGCCCGAGGGCCAGGCAUUUUUUUUAUUUUUUUUGUGUCAGCCCAAGGCCCUGCAGCCCCAUUUCCAUGUUUUUUUUUUCUAUUUUAUAUUAUUUAAACAAACAAAAAAAAAUAUUUUAUUACCUAUUGCCAGGGGGAAGGGUUCCAAGGGUGGAGAUGCAAAAGGUAAUUACUGUUCAUUAAUGACAGUUACUAUUCAUUAAAGGCAGUUACUGUUCAAUAGGGUGGAUUCAAUAGUAAAUUGCCAUGAAGGAGGGCUCCAAGGGUGGAGUUGCUCUGAUAAUAACAAAGAGAAGGCGAUUAGGCCAACAUCACAACACUACUUUGUACAUGACCAUGAGCUGUCUCUUUGAGUGUUAGGUCAAUGUCAUGUUCACACCACUAGUACUCUUUAGAUGCCCAUGUGCUGUUGCCAUGCGGAUCAAUAAUUUUUAGGUCUAUACAUUAGUCACACAAAAAUAACAAUAUUAUUGACGAUUCUUGACGCAAACUAGCCUAACAUAUGGAAAGAGAUUCUCUCCAGAUUCUCUCCAUCAAGAUUACCGGAUCAAGUGAUUCAAAUUUUUAAAAUUUUAUUAAAUGGUCCAUUUGUUUUAAUCUCUUAAAAGUUAUAAUAAUUUUUAGCAGUUUGAUAAAAUUUCAAAGGUUAGAAUCACUAAAUCUAAUGAUCUUGAAUCUUGAUAGAAAAGAUCCGAAAAUGAUCCGUUUCCCUAAACAUAUAAUGGUAGGACUUUUCUAUGGACAAGGAUUGUCUGCUCUCCUAGUUGUGGUGCCCUUCCAUACCCUCCUAUUUUGUGCGGUCACGGUUAAGCCACGUCAAUAUUUUAUAUUUUUAUUGUUUUUUUUCUUAUUAUCUCAUUAAAAAAUUAAUAUAAAAUGUUGAUGUGACUUAAUCGUGACCGCACAAAAUAGGAGAGCAUUGAAGGGCACCACAACUAGGAGGGCAGACAAUCUGCCUCCCUUUUCUAUACUAUUAAUUAACUUGUCAAGAGUAAUAUUGAAACUCAUAGGAAAUAUGUAUUUUGCUUUUUUCAUCCACAUUUGAUUUCUGAUAGAGACAAAUUUCUACCAAAAUUAAUUUUCCAAAAUUAAGCAAAAGCCUUACAUUAUGUUUGAAUGAAAACAAUUUACUUGAAAUUUUAUUAAAAAUAAAAAUUUAUAAAUUUACAUGUACAAAUUUUCUUAUUUAAAUUUUCACAGAUAAAAAAUUAAUAUUUUCGAGUAAAACAAACUUAAAAUAUACUUUCAAGUCUUAAGUUUAAUUUUCAUAUAAAUAUAUGUCAUUUUUUAAUUUUCAUGAAAAAUAAAAAUCACAAAUUUUGUUUCAAAUUUUAUUGUUCUUUUAUGUUAAUCAAAGAAGAAUAUUCACAAAUUCUAAAUAACAAACUUCCAUCAUUAUAAAAUCUCUUAGCAAUUUUAAAUUUUUUCAUCCAAACAUAAUGGUAAGAUUAUCUUUAUACCCAACGAUACAACGUCCAAAAAAAUAAAAAUAAAAACUAAAUUUUCAAAUUAAAUUUACAAAAUAAUUUGACUAUUACUAAUUAAUUUAUUAAAUAAAUAUCAAUUAAUGUACUUAUUUUUAUUAAUGACAUAAUUUAAUUUGUAAAUUUUCUCUCUAAUAUGGGUUGAAAAUUUGGCAUUCUUAUAAAAAUUGGUAGACACUAAUUACAUAUGCGGAAAGCUAUUCCGAGGAAUAAUUAAAUUACAUAACACCCGUAUUAAUUAGGACCUUAUCAAACAAGAGUCCCUCCCUUCACAUACUCGGUGAAGGCCAAAGCAACCAAACCUAACAUAGCCAACCUUCCAUUCCAGAGCUCGGCAUCAGACGUCAUGAGCCCGUUUGAUUUCGACUCCACGCUGACUCCUUUGAAAAGAGGAAUCACGGAUGCGACUGAGAGCAAAACACUAGUGGCAAGGAACAACGAAACUCCACCAUCGGAGAUCUGAGUAAACACAUCCUGGCCCUUGGACAGUUCCACAGCCAGAGCUGAAACAAACCCUACCAUUGCAAGUCUGCCGUUGAUUCUCUCCGGAGCUGGCCCACUGAAUGCAAACACAUCUGAAAACUUAGUGCUAACCUUCUUGGGACGAGGAGGAGAAGGAGUAGGUGUAGGAGGUGGUGGGGGGAUUUUGGAUGCCUCUGGUGUUGUAGAAGACGGUUGCUCCUCCUGACCAUUCUGCAAAUCAAAGAAAAUUAAUCAAAUUAACUACGUACGUGAAUAAAUAGGAUAUUGUACAAUAUAGUAUUUAGAUGUUAAUUGAAGAAUUAAUUAAUAAUUACCUCGGCCAUGGAGCGUACGACCAUGUGGCGGUACCUAUUAGCAGGAACAAGGUGGAUUACUCUCGCUGAUCUGCUCUUUCCAGCUCCAUAAACCACUGAGUUAGCUAGAAGUGAUUGCAUGGAAGCUGAUGCAGCCAUUAUAUGUAAUACUACUAAAAAAACCUAAUCAAAGAUCAACACAGAGGAGAUCGGAAACUUUUGA